This 1740-nucleotide long non-coding RNA is filed under the name Monodelphis domestica (gray short-tailed opossum). RNAcentral describes it as "lncRNA (ENSMODG00000031330.2)". Lineage: Eukaryota; Metazoa; Chordata; Mammalia; Didelphimorphia; Didelphidae. The record is from RNAcentral.
CUUCUUCCAUGUAUUGACUGAUUAGGUCAAGCUCACACUUAACACUGAGUGAAUGAACUGAGGUGGCAUACUGGGGACACGGACUGUGCCCAGCCAGGAAUGACCUCUUCAGGCCUCCAAUUCUGGCUCAGAGCAGCAGAGACCAAUUUUGUCAAGGCCUCAAUCUGGACAAGGGCUCACACAACCCAACCCAGCCUUCAUGCCCUGCCUAGACGAUGAAGGGACCGUUCUCCCUUUGGCUUCUGGCCCCUACUCAGCACGGCACAUCCCCCAUGCCAUAAGGGAACUCACUCACGUGAUGCAAUUACCAGGAUGAGAGCUUGAAAGCAGACUACCGUCUGGAUUCUUGCUCAGCCUCAUCUCUGCCAGGGCAUCCUCUGAAAUGCUCCCAGCCUUUGGCAAGAGAAGGAAGGAGGCCAAAACCAGUCCCUGAGUCAGAGGCAGACCCCCUUCAUCUCCUCAAUGAAGAACCUGGAAUUGAUGGUGUUGACAUGAGGUCCUGCAGGACACUGCCCUCUGCCCACUUGGGCUCCCAGCCAUGCCCAGAAGGCUCCAUGAUGUCAGCUGCAAAACAGUCAACAAUCUCAUGUACCCACCCCUAAACACUGAGACCCUAAAGUGACUCUUGUAAUCCAAGAGAUGAGUUUUGGCCCCAAUCUAGGCCAAUAUCCGCCGACUUUCCCCUGAGUCCCCUGAACAGACUUCGAGGAGGGCUUUCUCUUGAUCAGCUCUCCCCAGAUCCUCACAACCUCCAGGACCCUCCGUUUGAAAGCGGAGCCCAUUGUCCUGGUUCUCUCCCCUCUUGAUUGUUACUGAUGGUGGGGACUUGUUCGGACACCUCUGGAAACACAAUCAUAAUCAGAGCAUCUUGCAUGUUCUGACUGUUGGUUCGCGCUCAUGCUUAACACUGAGUGAAUCAACUGAGGUGAUAUACUGGGGACGCGGACUGUGCCAAGCCAGGAAUGACCUCUUCAGGCCUCAGAUUCUGGUUCAGAGCAGCAGAGACCAAUUUCGUCAAGGCCUUCAUCUGGACAAGGGCUCACAUGACCCAACCCAGCCUGUGUGGCCCUCCCAGACCGUGAAGGGACAGUCCUCCCGGCUGCUUCUGACCCCUACUCAGCGGGGGCAAGUCCUCUUCGCCCACGUACCCCUACAUGCCACAAGGGUUCUCGCCAGAGUCCUGCCCUCAACCAUAAUGAAUGGAGGAAUGAACACGGCCGAGAUCCUGGCUUCUUGCUCAGCCUCAUCUCUGCCAGUGUGUCAUUUCUGCAAUGGGUGGAGCUUCUGCAGAGAGAAGGUGGUGGGCCAAAGGCAGAGCCCCAGCCCCAUCCCGAUCCCCAGAGGGACCUCAGAAUUGUUGGUUUUUCCACGGGCCGCCUCCGGGACAAUGACUUUUGCUCAGCUGGUACCCUGAAGCAUCCCCUCCAAUCUCCGUGAUGUCUGUUUCAAACUACAAAAUGCUGGACUUGGCUGCCCCCCCCCCUCUAUUUACCAAGAAAGUUCUAGCGGAUGGCAUUCCACACAUCUCUCUACCAAACCUAGACUGUUGCCCUUCGGGGAUGGCCACAGAAGCUGAAAUACACUCCAGAGCUCUGUUUGCUUCAGGGGGUGGGGGCCACAUUCAGAGCCCAUCUUUCCUCCUCCAAGCCAGACCGGGAUUCCAGCAUCGGGAUCCCACUUUCCCCUGCUUCUUCAGUUGUGGAAAGGCUGGAGGUGAGUGAGGAGCCAUGGGGUGUGGGA